GUAAAUGAAGAAAAACAGGAGAUGAGAGGGAACUACUUCCUCUUCUAAAGGGGGUCAAGUCCCCUCACUAACU
This 73-nucleotide transfer RNA is filed under the name Nanorana ventripunctata (spot-bellied plateau frog). Its description in RNAcentral is "tRNA-Leu". Lineage: Eukaryota; Metazoa; Chordata; Amphibia; Anura; Dicroglossidae. The record is from RNAcentral.